AGAGAGGUGGGAAGGUGAUACAAACAGGUGGUCCGCUGGUAAUCCCCAUCGAGUGACUGGAUGAUCUGCAAAAGAGGAAAACAACCCGGCCAGAGAGUCAGGGGACGGCCACCAGAUGGCCCUGUGGACCGCCGCCCGACCCCCGAGCAAGCCGUGUGCCCCAAGGGCCUGACCCAAGAUCCCACAGCUCUCUGCCACUCACGCUGGAGGAGACCAGAAACCUCGAGGUGCUGUCUUCACUCAUGCACUUCACUCACUUCACUCACUCACUUCACUCACUUCACUCACGCUCCUCUCUCACACAGCCCUGAUGGAGAAGGUGGGUCCCCAGCGCGUGGGCCCCAGGAGGGAGAGGGCUCUGCUGUACAGGAGGUUCUGGAAGGAAGCCGUGCGCCUGGCUCUUCCGUCCCAGCUCCUCCCUACAUCUUCUUUCACGCUGCAGCGGAAACCAGAAUGCCUACUAAUUCCUUAAGAACCAAAGGUUCAAGUGGUGCUACCUACGUAUUUGCUUCUUACGUCCCCCCCAACGUCACUACGAUUCCACACGACAGCCCUUGAGAAUUCUUUCAAGUUUGCCAAAUGUCCUCUACCAUAGAAACAUCUCAAUUAAAACAAGAGUUUCCAAACUGU
This 630-nucleotide non-coding RNA is filed under the name Pongo abelii (Sumatran orangutan). Lineage: Eukaryota; Metazoa; Chordata; Mammalia; Primates; Hominidae. The record is from RNAcentral.